RNAcentral lists this ribosomal RNA (484 nucleotides) under uncultured bacterium. Its description in RNAcentral is "partial 16S ribosomal RNA". It matches the Rfam family "Bacterial small subunit ribosomal RNA", at positions 30 to 507 of the family's 1533-position model. The record is from RNAcentral.
AUUGAACGCUGGCGGCAGGCCUAACACAUGCAAGUCGAGCGGAUGAAGGGAGCUUGCUCCUGGAUUCAGCGGCGGACGGGUGAGUAAUGCCUAGGAAUCUGCCUGGUAGUGGGGGAUAACGUCCGGAAACGGGCGCUAAUACCGCAUACGUCCUGAGGGAGAAAGUGGGGGAUCUUCGGACCUCACGCUAUCAGAUGAGCCUAGGUCGGAUUAGCUAGUUGGUGGGGUAAAGGCCUACCAAGGCGACGAUCCGUAACUGGUCUGAGAGGAUGAUAAGUCACACUGGAACUGAGACACGGUCCAGACUCCUACGGGAGGCAGCAGUGGGGAAUAUUGGACAAUGGGCGAAAGCCUGAUCCAGCCAUGCCGCGUGUGUGAAGAAGGUCUUCGGAUUGUAAAGCACUUUAAGUUGGGAGGAAGGGCAGUAAGUUAAUACCUUGCUGUUUUGACGUUACCAACAGAAUAAGCACCGGCUAACUUCGUG